RNAcentral lists this small RNA (28 nucleotides) under Bombyx mori (domestic silkworm). RNAcentral's name for it is "ovarian small RNA-20886". Lineage: Eukaryota; Metazoa; Arthropoda; Insecta; Lepidoptera; Bombycidae. The record is from RNAcentral.
UACCUGCCUUCCAGACCUUGUUUGCCUU